Molecule: ribosomal RNA, 491 nt
Filed under: uncultured bacterium
Lineage: Bacteria
Description: partial 16S ribosomal RNA
Rfam family: Bacterial small subunit ribosomal RNA
Source: RNAcentral
AGUGAACGCUGGCGGUAGGCCUAACACAUGCAAGUCGAACGGCAGCACAGUAAGAGCUUGCUCUUACGGGUGGCGAGUGGCGGACGGGUGAGGAAUACAUCGGAAUCUACUUUUUCGUGGGGGAUAACGUAGGGAAACUUACGCUAAUACCGCAUACGACCUACGGGUGAAAGCAGGGGAUCUUCGGACCUUGCGCGAUUGAAUGAGCCGAUGUCGGAUUAGCUAGUUGGCGGGGUAAAGGCCCACCGAGGCGACGAUCCGUAGCUGGUCUGAGAGGAUGAUCAGCCACACUGGAACUGAGACGCGGUCCAGACUCCGACGGGAGGCAGCAGUGGGGAAUAGUGGACAAUGGGCGCAAGCCUGAUCCAGCCAUACCGCGUGGGUGAAGAAGGCCUUCGGGUUGUAAAGCCCUUUUGUUGGGAAAGAAAAGCAGCAGGUUAAUACCCCGCUGUUCUGACGGUACCCAAAGAAUAAGCACCGGCUAACUUCGU